AUGGGGCUGGGGCUUGGUGGUAGAGCGCUUGCCUAGCACAUGGGAGGCACUGGGUUCGAUCCUCAGCACCAUG
Molecule: transfer RNA, 73 nt
Filed under: Marmota monax (woodchuck)
Lineage: Eukaryota; Metazoa; Chordata; Mammalia; Rodentia; Sciuridae
Description: tRNA.Ala
Source: RNAcentral